This 465-nucleotide ribosomal RNA is filed under the name Vreelandella stevensii. Its description in RNAcentral is "partial 16S ribosomal RNA". It matches the Rfam family "Bacterial small subunit ribosomal RNA", at positions 338 to 795 of the family's 1533-position model. Lineage: Bacteria; Pseudomonadati; Pseudomonadota; Gammaproteobacteria; Oceanospirillales; Halomonadaceae. The record is from RNAcentral.
CCUACGGGGGGCUGCAGUGGGGAAUAUUGGACAAUGGGGGCAACCCUGAUCCAGCCAUGCCGCGUGUGUGAAGAAGGCCCUCGGGUUGUAAAGCACUUUCAGUGAGGAAGAACGCCUGGUGGUUAAUACCCAUCAGGAAAGACAUCACUCACAGAAGAAGCACCGGCUAACUCCGUGCCAGCAGCCGCGGUAAUACGGAGGGUGCGAGCGUUAAUCGGAAUUACUGGGCGUAAAGCGCGCGUAGGUGGCUUGAUAAGCCGGUUGUGAAAGCCCCGGGCUCAACCUGGGAACGGCAUCCGGAACUGUCAAGCUAGAGUGCAGGAGAGGAAGGUAGAAUUCCCGGUGUAGCGGUGAAAUGCGUAGAGAUCGGGAGGAAUACCGGUGGCGAAGGCGGCCUUCUGGACUGACACUGACACUGAGGUGCGAAAGCGUGGGUAGCAAACAGGAUUAGAUACCCGAGUAGUC